GCUGGUGUAGCUCAAACGGUAGAGCAACUGACUUGUAAUCAGUAGGUUGAGGGUUCAAUUCCUUUCACCAGCU
This 73-nucleotide transfer RNA is filed under the name Seleniivibrio woodruffii. It matches the Rfam family "tRNA". From Rfam's summary of the family: Transfer RNA (tRNA) molecules are approximately 80 nucleotides in length. Their secondary structure includes four short double-helical elements and three loops (D, anti-codon, and T loops). Further hydrogen bonds mediate the characteristic L-shaped molecular structure. tRNAs have two regions of fundamental functional importance: the anti-codon, which is responsible for specific mRNA codon recognition, and the 3' end, to which the tRNAs corresponding amino acid is attached (by aminoacyl-tRNA synthetases). tRNAs cope with the degeneracy of the genetic code in two manners: having more than one tRNA (with a specific anti-codon) for a particular amino acid; and 'wobble' base-pairing, i.e. permitting non-standard base-pairing at the 3rd anti-codon position. Lineage: Bacteria; Pseudomonadati; Deferribacterota; Deferribacteres; Deferribacterales; Geovibrionaceae. The record is from Rfam by way of RNAcentral.